This 393-nucleotide ribosomal RNA is filed under the name uncultured bacterium. Its description in RNAcentral is "partial 16S ribosomal RNA". It matches the Rfam family "Bacterial small subunit ribosomal RNA", at positions 523 to 918 of the family's 1533-position model. The record is from RNAcentral.
AUACGGAGGAUCCGAGCGUUAUCCGGAUUUAUUGGGUUUAAAGGGAGCGUAGGUGGAUUGUUAAGUCAGUUGUGAAAGUUUGCGGCUCAACCGUAAAAUUGCAGUUGAUACUGGUAGUCUUGAGUGCAGCAGAGGUAGGCGGAAUUCGUGGUGUAGCGGUGAAAUGCUUAGAUAUCACGAAGAACUCCGAUUGCGAAGGCAGCUUACUGGACUGUAACUGACGCUGAUGCUCGAAAGUGUGGGUAUCAAACAGGAUUAGAUACCCUGGUAGUCCACACAGUAAACGAUGAAUACUCGCUGUUUGCGAUAUACAGCAAGCGGCCAAGCGAAAGCAUUAAGUAUUCCACCUGGGGAGUACGCCGGCAACGGUGAAACUCAAAUGAAUUGACGGGG